RNAcentral lists this ribosomal RNA (319 nucleotides) under uncultured fungus. RNAcentral's name for it is "SSU rRNA". It matches the Rfam family "Eukaryotic small subunit ribosomal RNA", at positions 52 to 375 of the family's 1831-position model. The record is from RNAcentral. Lineage: Eukaryota; Fungi.
UGCAUGUCUAAGUAUAAGCAAUUAUACCGUGAAACUGCGAAUGGCUCAUUAAAUCAGUUAUCGUUUAUUUGAUAAUACCUUACUACUUGGAUAACCGUGGUAAUUCUAGAGCUAAUACAUGCUGAAAAUCCCGACUUCGGAAGGGAUGUGUUUAUUAGAUAAAAAACCAAUGCCCUUCGGGGCUUUUUGGUGAUUCAUGAUAACUUUACGGAUCGCAUAGCCUUGCGCUGGCGACGGUUCAUUCAAAUUUCUGCCCUAUCAACUUUCGAUGGUAAGGUAUUGGCUUACCAUGGUUUCAACGGGUAACGGGGAAUGGGGC